Molecule: transfer RNA, 69 nt
Filed under: Tamias dorsalis (cliff chipmunk)
Lineage: Eukaryota; Metazoa; Chordata; Mammalia; Rodentia; Sciuridae
Also listed under: 1 other name
Description: tRNA-Val
Rfam family: tRNA
About the family: Transfer RNA (tRNA) molecules are approximately 80 nucleotides in length.
Source: RNAcentral
CAAAAUGUAGCUUAACAUCUAAAGCACUCGGCUUACACCCGAAAGAUUUCUUUUAUAUGAACAUUUUGA